UUGGAUUUAUGGUCAUCUUGGCAAUGUAUUCCGCUGCCUUGGUUUCAAUAUAAAGGGUGAUCAAUCCAUCUGUCACCAGGUCGUGGAUAGACUCAAAACGUUUCUCUCCAACAAAGUGUUUUCCAUCAUAGUAGAGUCUGAAGUUUCUAGUUUGAUUUCCAAAUCUGCCUCAAUGGAACAGAACAAUACAUAUAUACAUUAAAAAUAGACAACCCUGGGCACAUUGUUUUCUAAAAAACUAAGGAAAAGGUCAUGUAGAUGGGGUCAAGUUCAAAAGCAACAAGCUAUAACAGACUACUCAUGGGACAGUGUAUAGAUCCGUGAUGGUGAAUCUUUUAGACACCGAGUGCCCAAACUGCGCGUGCAUGCCCAAACUGAAAGAUUUUAAAGCACAAUAAUUUUGAUACUCAAUUAUUGGCAAAACACGGAUGAUCACAUCUGAAGGUCUUCAACUUUGCAAUCAAAUAUUAAUCUACCACAGGGAAUAAUGCAAAAAUCAGGCCAGGAACCAAUUGCAAGAGCAGGUGCAUGUUAAUUUAAAAUAUUCCCUUGUUCCCUUCCCCACCCCACUCCAUUUUAAAAGAAAUUGAUGUGUCUUUAUUAGUUGAACAAGUGAUCAAAGUUACUGUCCCAUUAUAUAUCACGGACAAUAUCUGUUUGAAUGCUAUGUAUUUUUGCAUGCUCCAAAAUGAAUUAAUAUAGAAAUAAAAGCUUUAUAUGUUGCUUCCCCCCCCCCUUAUUUUUGGGAGCCUUGCAUAAUGUACAACCCAACCAUCCAUUCCCCAAAUGUGAAGAUGUAAAUGAACUCUAGAAUGUCUUUAUCAACUGUUCUAAUUACUAAUAUAUUACACUAGAUUUAAAAUUAAACUCUUGUUUUUCAAUGA
Molecule: long non-coding RNA, 884 nt
Organism: Pantherophis guttatus
Lineage: Eukaryota; Metazoa; Chordata; Lepidosauria; Squamata; Colubridae
Source: RefSeq, a predicted model, not a curated record